AGAGUUUGAUCAUGGCUCAGGAUGAACGCUAGCGGCGUGCCUAAUGCAUGCAAGUCGAACGGGAUCCUUUAGAUUCGUCUGAAGGUGAGAGUGGCGAACGGGUGAGUAUCGCGUUGGUGACCUGCCCCAGAGAGGGGGACAACCAGUGGAAACGCUGGCUAAUACCCCGGAUGUUAUUGUCUUUAGAAAGCAAUGACUGAAACUCCGGUACUCUGGGAGGGGCCUGCGUCCCAUCAGCUUGUUGGUAAGGUAAUGGCUUACCAAGGCUAAGACGGGUAGGGGGCGUGAGAGCGUGGCCCCCCACACUGGUACUGAAACACGGACCAGAUACCUACGGGUAGCAGCAGCAAGGAAUAUUGCCCAAUGGACGAAAGUCUGAGGCAGCAACGCCGCGUGGAGGAUGAAGGCUUUCGGGUCGUAAACUCCUUUUCUGGGGGAAGAGAAAGGACGGUACCCCAGGAAUAAGGCCCGGCUAACUACGUGCCAGCAGCCGCGGUAAAACGUAGGGGUCGAGCGUUAUCCGGAUUUACUGGGCGUAAAGCGCAUGUAGGCGGUUACUUAAGUCGGACGUGAAAGCUCCUGGCUCAACUGGGAGAGGUCGUUCGAAACUAGGUAACUUGAGGAUGGUAGGGGAAAGUGGAAUUCCAGGUGUAGUGGUGAAAUGCGUAGAUAUCUGGAGGAACACCAGUGGCGAAGGCGGCUUUCUGGGCCAUUCCUGACGCUGAGAUGCGAAAGCUAGGGGAGAGAACGGGAUUAGAAACCCCGGUAUUCCUAGCCGUAAACGAUGUCAACUAGGUGUAGGGGGUAUUGACCCCCCCUGUACUGCAGCUAACGCGUUAAGUUGACCGCCUGGGGACUACGGCCGCAAGGCUAAAACUCAAAGGAAUUGACGG
RNAcentral lists this ribosomal RNA (893 nucleotides) under uncultured bacterium. Its description in RNAcentral is "bacterial SSU rRNA". It matches the Rfam family "Bacterial small subunit ribosomal RNA", at positions 8 to 916 of the family's 1533-position model. The record is from RNAcentral.